AGUGAACGCUGGCGGUAGGCCUAACACAUGCAAGUCGAACGGCAGCACAGUAAGAGCUUGCUCUUACGGGUGGCGAGUGGCGGACGGGUGAGGCAUACAUCGGAAUCUACUUUUUCGUGGGGGAUAACGUAGGGAAACUUACGCUAAUACCGCAUACGACCUACGGGUGAAAGCAGGGGUUCUUCGGACCUUGCGCGAUUGAAUGAGCCGAUGUCGGAUUAGCUAGUUGGCGGGGUAAAGGCCCACCAAGGCGACGAUCCGUAGCUGGUCUGAGAGGAUGAUCAGCCACACUGGAACUGAGACACGGUCCAGACUCCUACGGGAGGCAGCAGUGGGGAAUAUUGGACAAUGGGCGCAAGCCUGAUCCAGCCAUACCGCGUGGGUGAAGAAGGCCUUCGGGUUGUAAAGCCCUUUUGUUGGGAAAGAAAAGCAGCAGGUUAAUACCCCGCUGUUCUGACGGUACCCAAAGAAUAAGCACCGGCUAACUUCGUG
Molecule: ribosomal RNA, 492 nt
Filed under: uncultured bacterium
Lineage: Bacteria
Description: partial 16S ribosomal RNA
Rfam family: Bacterial small subunit ribosomal RNA
Source: RNAcentral